Molecule: ribosomal RNA, 450 nt
Filed under: uncultured bacterium
Lineage: Bacteria
Description: partial 16S ribosomal RNA
Rfam family: Bacterial small subunit ribosomal RNA
Source: RNAcentral
GUGGGGAAUUUUGGACAAUGGGCGCAAGCCUGAUCCAGCAAUGCCGCGUGCAGGAAGAAGGCCUUCGGGUUGUAAACUGCUUUUGUACGAAACGAAACGGUCCUGGUUAAUACCUGGGGCUAAUGACGGUACCGUAAGAAUAAGCACCGGCUAACUACGUGCCAGCAGCCGCGGUAAUACGUAGGGUGCGAGCGUUAAUCGGAAUUACUGGGCGUAAAGCGUGCGCAGGCGGUGCUGUAAGACAGGCGUGAAAUCCCCGGGCUCAACCUGGGAAUUGCGCUUGUGACUGCAGUGCUGGAGUACGGCAGAGGGGGAUGGAAUUCCGCGUGUAGCAGUGAAAUGCGUAGAUAUGCGGAGGAACACCGAUGGCGAAGGCAGUCCCCUGGGCCUGUACUGACGCUCAUGCACGAAAGCGUGGGGAGCAAACAGGAUUAGAUACCCUGGUAGUCC